GCUCAGGCACGAGCCAGCUGGUUCCCCAGCGUGAUGCCGAGUCAGGGUUGGGAGGCUCCUAAGGAACGCAUGGCCCCGACGCUUGCAUUCAGGAAGCAGCGGCAAGGCAUCAUCAGGAACUCACUAGAAAAGCAGACUCUCAGGACACCCCCGGCCCCAGCAAAUCAGGACCUGUGAUGUAAUGGGAACCCCAGAUGGGUGGGAGAGGCACUGGUUUGGAGCGCUCUCCUGCGAUCUCUCCGCGGUGGUGGGGACGCUCCCCCAGUUACAAGCGCAUUGAUUUCACGGACAUUGGAACACUCUCCACGUGCCAAGUCUUGGUCUGGGCUGUGAAGGGCUGCCUCGUCGUUCUGAAGUCAGACCGCCUGACUGUUUCCAAGUCCGUGAAACGAAGGUGGUGAUAAAAUAGUCCCUAUCCCGUAACCUUUAUUUCGAGGCACAAGUAAGAUAUCCACCCAGCAGACUCGGCUCGCUGCUGGGCACUCCAUGAAUGUUCAGUCUUUGCUACUGUGUUUAUCUAUCUACCCAUCUGUUUUUCUGUCUGUGUAUUGAAGGCAGGCAAUCGGUGUAGGCGGGAUGAACAGACCUACCUCCUGGGCUUUUGGAGAGGAUUACAUGAAAAAACCCUGGUAAAGGGCUUCACAGUUAACAGUGUUCUCAGCUGCUUACUUGGACUUACACUCGAGGUGUGCCUCCUCUCCUGGCCAGAAGGGCUGGCUUCGAAGGACCUGAGCUCACUGGUGGUAAUUGUUCAACCAGGAGCCAAGCGGUCAGUCCCUCCAUUCCGCCAGUCGGGGACAAUCGAGGCUGGUCUCCAUCUGCCUGUGAUCUGUUGGCACAGAGGUCAUGGAGCAAUUUCCCCCACACAACAACUCUUGUGGGGAGCCCUAAAGGUUCUGUACAAUGAAGGGUUGGUGGUGGUGUCUGAGGGAACUUGUUAGUUGAGAACUUUUAGCUGCAAGUAACUGAAAUCCCAAGUAAAGGACAUUUUACUUUCU
Molecule: non-coding RNA, 998 nt
Organism: Leptonychotes weddellii (Weddell seal)
Lineage: Eukaryota; Metazoa; Chordata; Mammalia; Carnivora; Phocidae
Source: RefSeq, a predicted model, not a curated record